AAUGAUCAUUCCGUCGAUGUAUUGGGCCUACCCCAAAUGGCGAGCCGAACAAAUACGACGGAGCGCCGAUCUCA
Molecule: small RNA, 74 nt
Filed under: Sinorhizobium meliloti 2011
Lineage: Bacteria; Pseudomonadati; Pseudomonadota; Alphaproteobacteria; Hyphomicrobiales; Rhizobiaceae
Description: putative ncRNA
Source: RNAcentral